RNAcentral lists this ribosomal RNA (253 nucleotides) under uncultured bacterium. RNAcentral describes it as "partial 16S ribosomal RNA". It matches the Rfam family "Bacterial small subunit ribosomal RNA", at positions 524 to 776 of the family's 1533-position model. The record is from RNAcentral.
UACGUAGGGGGCAAGCGUUGUCCGGAAUCAUUGGGCGUAAAGAGCGCGUAGGCGGUCCGAUAAAUCGGUUGUGAAAACUGGGGGCUCAACCCUCAGAGGCCGACCGAUACUGUCGGGCUAGAGUCCGGAAGAGGCGAGUGGAAUUCCUGGUGUAGCGGUGAAAUGCGCAGAUAUCAGGAGGAACACCAAUGGCGAAGGCAGCUCGCUGGGACGGUACUGACGCUGAGGCGCGAAAGCGUGGGGAGCAAACAGG